Molecule: ribosomal RNA, 503 nt
Filed under: uncultured bacterium
Lineage: Bacteria
Description: bacterial SSU rRNA
Rfam family: Bacterial small subunit ribosomal RNA
Source: RNAcentral
GACGAACGCUGGCGGCGUGGAUUAGGCAUGCAAGUCGAACGGUAUCAUCCUUUCGGGGGUGAGAGAGUGGCGAACUGGUGAGUAACACGUAGGUUAUCUACCCUCAAGACGGGGACAACCCAGGGAAACUUGGGCUAAUACCGGAUGUGAGCAACUUUUAGUUGUUUGAAAGGUGGCGUAAGCUGUCGCUUGGGGAUGAGCCUGCGUCCUAUUAGUUAGUUGGUGAGGUAACGGCUCACCUAGGCAAUGAUAGGUAGGCGGCCUUAACGGGUGGUCGCCCACACUGGGAUUGAGAUACGGCCCAGACUCCUACGGGAGGCAGCAGUCGAGAAUAGUCUACAAUGGCCGAAAGGCUGAUAGUGCGACGCCGCGUGAACGAAGAAGCCCCUUGGGUGUAAAGUUCUUUUAUAUGUGAGCAGUGCUUUUCAUGUGAACAGCAUGGGGAGAGAGAUAUUAGCAUAUGAAUAAGCAAACGGCUAAACUCCGUGACCAGCAGCCGCGGU